GCUGGGUGCGGUGGUGCAUGCCUGUAAUUCCAGUGGCUUGGGAGGCUGAGGCAGGAGGAUCAUGAGUUUAAAGGCAGCCUCAGCAACUUAGCGAGGCCCUAAGCAAUUCAGUGAGAUCCUGUUUCUA
This 127-nucleotide small RNA is filed under the name Marmota monax (woodchuck). Lineage: Eukaryota; Metazoa; Chordata; Mammalia; Rodentia; Sciuridae. The record is from RNAcentral.